UUUUUUUUUGGCAGAGUCUCUCUCUGUUGCCCAGACUGGAGUGCAGUGGCGCGAUCUCAGCUCAGUGCAAACUCCACCUCCCAGGUUCACAUCAUUUUCCUGCCUCAGCCUCCCCAGUAGCUGGGACUACAGGCACCCACCACCACGCUUGGCUAAUUUCUUGUAUUUUUCAGUAGAGACGGGGUUUCACCAUGUUAGCCAGGAUGGUCUCAAUCUCCUACCCUCAUGAUCCGUCCACCUCAGCCUCCCAAAGUGCUGGGAUGACAGGCGUGAGCCACUGCACCUGGCCUAGCUUCAGAGUUUUAAAAAAAUAAUUAUGCCUGUAAAUACAUCUUUCUGCCAGUGUUUCCAAGGCAUCCUGCAGAGUGUGGACCAAGGAGCCCCACCUGGUUUUGCUGAUGCAUCUCACCAGCAUCCAUACAAGGCAUCCCUUGGGCUUGCUGCAUCAGCUCUGGCCACGAGGAUCUCACUGUCCACGAGGCUCGGCUGCCUCAUGAGUGGUUUCCAGGAGUUAAAGGGCAGGAUCUAUCCAAAGUUGUAGAAGCAAAGCCUCUGAGCUGGGUGGAGAAAGCCACCGAGACAGCCAGGUGAACUGGGACUCAGUUCAGAAAGGACAGAAGAUCCCACAUGAGGCCCAGAACCCAAGGGGGGAACCUGGAGAGUCCCCUGUGCUGGCAAACCUACCGCUGUAGCACCCAUCCGCUCCACCCGCUUCCCAUCCACAGAGAGCGUGCCCACACUGCCUGGCCUCCCUGGCACCCAAGGUGCUGCAGGGAGUCAAGGUCAUCAGAGAAUCAGCCCUCACACAGGGCUGAGAACCCACCUGGUGAGGUUGGAUGGACAGUACAGAGGCAGAAAGUAAAGUGGGUGAGAGCCCGAGGGAGGGAGAGACAGUGGCUGCAGCGGGCGCUCAGAGGAGGGAAGAGGUUGCCUGGGCUGCGCUUGUCAUGGGAGCAGGUCCCAGGGUGGCCACUUCUGCAUCUGCAGAAAGCACAGGGCCUGGGGCAGGGGAUCUCUGUUUAUACCCAGCUUAGCCUCAUUCCCUGAGGCUGGGGCAGAGGUAGGUGGGGGCAAACAGAUCCUGAGCAAUAAGUGAACCCCAAGAGAGAAGAACCCCACCCAGAUCUCGGGAAUGUGAGGAUGUGAACCCAAAAUAUGAGACAGGUCUCAAUCAAGUUAGAAAGUUUAUUCUGUGGCCAGGCACAGUGGCUCCUGCCUAUAAUCCCUGCAAUUUGUAAGGCCAAGGCCGGUGGAUCACUUGAGGUCAGGGGUUUGAGACCAGCCUGGCCAACUUGGCAAAACCUUGUCUCUACUAAAAAUACAAAAAUUAGUUGGGUGUGGUGGCGCACGCCUGUAGUCCCAGCUACUCAGGAGGCUGAGGCACAAGAAUCUCUUGAAUCUGGGAAGCAGGGGUUACAGUGAGUGGAGAUCUCACCACUGCAUUCCAACCUGGGUGACAAAGUGACACCCUG
Molecule: long non-coding RNA, 1472 nt
Filed under: Macaca fascicularis (crab-eating macaque)
Lineage: Eukaryota; Metazoa; Chordata; Mammalia; Primates; Cercopithecidae
Description: lncRNA (ENSMFAG00000056212.1)
Source: RNAcentral